UAAGGAAUAUUCCACAAUGGGCGAAAGCCUGAUGGAGCGACGCCGCGUGAGGGACGAAGCCCUUUGGGGUGUAAACCUCUUUUUGUGGGGAUGAAACGGUAUGUUAGACGCAUACCUAAGACAGUACCCGCAGAAUAAGCCUCGGCUAACUACGUGCCAGCAGCCGCGGUAAUACGUAGGAGGCGAGCGUUGUCCGGAUUUACUGGGCGUAAAGCGCGCGCAGGCGGCACCUUAAGUACGAUGUGAAAUCUCCCUGCUCAACGGGGAGGGUGCAUAGUAAACUGAGGAGCUAGAGGGCGGUAGAGGGGGGUGGAAUUGCUGGUGUAGCGGUGAAAUGCGUAGAGAUCAGCAGGAACACCCGUGGCGAAGGCGGCCCCCUGGGCCGUACCUGACGCUGAGGCGCGAAGGCUAGGGGAGCGAACGG
This 424-nucleotide ribosomal RNA is filed under the name uncultured bacterium. RNAcentral's name for it is "bacterial SSU rRNA". It matches the Rfam family "Bacterial small subunit ribosomal RNA", at positions 355 to 775 of the family's 1533-position model. The record is from RNAcentral.